This 491-nucleotide ribosomal RNA is filed under the name uncultured bacterium. Its description in RNAcentral is "partial 16S ribosomal RNA". It matches the Rfam family "Bacterial small subunit ribosomal RNA", at positions 29 to 506 of the family's 1533-position model. The record is from RNAcentral.
AGUGAACGCUGGCGGUAGGCCUAACACAUGCAAGUCGAACGGCAGCACAGUAAGAGCUUGCUCUUACGGGUGGCGAGUGGCGGACGGGUGAGGAAUACAUCGGAAUCUACUUUUUCGUGGGGGAUAACGUAGGGAAACUUACGCUAAUUCCGCAUACGACCUACGGGUGAAAGCAGGGGAUCUUCGGACCUUGCGCGAUUGAAUGAGCCGAUGUCGGAUUAGCUAGUUGGCGGGGUAAAGGCCCACCAAGGCGACGAUCCGUAGCUGGUCUGAGAGGAUGAUCAGCCACACGGGAACUGAGACACGGUCCAGACUCCUACGGGAGGCAGCAGUGGGGAAUAUUGGACAAGGGGCGCAAGCCUGAUCCAGCCAUACCGCGUGGGUGAAGAAGGCCUUCGGGUUGUAAAGCCCUUUUGUUGGGAAAGAAAAGCAGCAGGUUAAUACCCCGCUGUUCUGACGGUACCCAAAGAAUAAGCACCGGCGAACUUCGU